This 747-nucleotide ribosomal RNA is filed under the name uncultured cyanobacterium. Its description in RNAcentral is "bacterial SSU rRNA". It matches the Rfam family "Bacterial small subunit ribosomal RNA", at positions 8 to 796 of the family's 1533-position model. Lineage: Bacteria; Bacillati; Cyanobacteriota. The record is from RNAcentral.
AGAGUUUGAUCAUGGCUCAGGAUGAACGCUGGCGGUAUGCGUAACACAUGCAAGUCGAACGAAGUUUUUCGGAACUUAGUGGCGGACGGGUGAGUAACGCGUGAGAAUCUGCCUUAAGGAUUGGGACAACAGUGGGAAACCGCUGCUAAUACCAAAUAUGCCUUUUAGUGAAACGGGUAAAACCGCCUUAAGAUGAGCUCGCGUCUGAUUAGCUAGUUGGUGUGGUAAGAGCGCACCAAGGCAACGAUCAGUAGCUGGUCUGAGAGGACGACCAGCCACACUGGGACUGAGACACGGCCCAGACUCCUACGGGAGGCAGCAGUGAGGAAUUUUCCGCAAUGGGCGAAAGCCUGACGGAGCAAUACCGCGUGAGGGAGGAAGGUUCUUGGAUUGUAAACCUCUUUUCUCAGAGAAGAAUAAUGACGGUAUCUGAGGAAUAAGCAUCGGCUAACUCCGUGCCAGCAGCCGCGGUAAUACGGAGGAUGCAAGCGUUAUCCGGAAUGAUUGGGCGUAAAGGGUCUGUAGGUGGUUGUUCAAGUCUGCUGUUAAAGCGUCUGGCUUAACCAGAUAAAGGCGGUGGAAACUGAACGACUAGAGUGCGGUAGGGGUAGAGGGAAUUCCCAGUGUAGCGGUGAAAUGCGUAGAUCUUGGGAAGAACACCUGUGGCGAAAGCGCUCUACUGGACCGCGACUGACACUGAUGGACGAAAGCUAGGGGAGCGAAUGGGAUUAGAUACCCCAGUAGUCC